AUUGAACGCUGGCGGCAGGCCUAACACAUGCAAGUCGAACGAGUGGCGGACGGGUGAGCAAUGUCUGGGAAACUGCCUGAUGGAGGGGGAUAACUACUGGAAACGGUAGCUAAUACCGCAUACCAUCAGAUGUGCCCAGAUGGGAUUAGCUUGUUGGUGGGGUAACGGCUCACGAAGGCGACGAUCCCUAGCUGGUCUGCGAGGAUGACCAUCCACACUGGGACGGAGACACGGUCCAGACGCAUACGGGAAGCAGCAGUGGGGAAUAUUGCACAAUGGGCGCAAGCCAGAUGCAGCGAUGCCGCGUGUAUGAAGAAGGCCUUCGGGUUGUAAGGUGCUUUCAGCGGGGAGGCGUUACCCGCAGAAGAAGCACCGGCUAACUCCGUGCCAGCCGCCGCGGUAAUUC
Molecule: ribosomal RNA, 406 nt
Filed under: uncultured bacterium
Lineage: Bacteria
Description: partial 16S ribosomal RNA
Rfam family: Bacterial small subunit ribosomal RNA
Source: RNAcentral